UGUUUCGGGACCCCUUCCGCAGA
RNAcentral lists this non-coding RNA (23 nucleotides) under Cricetulus griseus (Chinese hamster). The record is from RNAcentral. Lineage: Eukaryota; Metazoa; Chordata; Mammalia; Rodentia; Cricetidae.